RNAcentral lists this ribosomal RNA (346 nucleotides) under uncultured eukaryote. RNAcentral's name for it is "SSU rRNA". It matches the Rfam family "Eukaryotic small subunit ribosomal RNA", at positions 594 to 945 of the family's 1831-position model. The record is from RNAcentral.
AUAGCGUAUAUUAAAGUUGUUGCAGUUAAAAAGCUCGUAGUUGAACUUCAGACCUGGCCGGACGGUCUGCCUAACGGUAUGUACUGUCUGGCUGGGCCUUACCUCUUGGUGAGCCGGCAUGCCCUUCACUGGGUGUGUCGGGGAACCAGGACUUUUACCUUGAGAAAAUUAGAGUGUUCAAAGCAGGCUUAUGCUCGAAUACAUUAGCAUGGAAUAAUAAAAUAGGACGUGCGGUUCUAUUUUGUUGGUUUCUAGAGUCGCCGUAAUGAUUAAUAGGGAUAGUUGGGGGCAUUAGUAUUCAAUUGUCAGAGGUGAAAUUCUUGGAUUUAUUGAAGACUAACUACUG